Molecule: ribosomal RNA, 516 nt
Filed under: uncultured bacterium
Lineage: Bacteria
Description: bacterial SSU rRNA
Rfam family: Bacterial small subunit ribosomal RNA
Source: RNAcentral
AAUAGAUACCCAGGUAGUCCACGCCGUAAACGAUGGAUGCUAGCCGUUGGCAGGCUUGCCUGUCAGUGGCGCAGCUAACGCAUUAAGCAUCCCGCCUGGGGAGUACGGUCGCAAGAUUAAAACUCAAAGGAAUUGACGGGGGGCCCGCACAAGCGGUGGAGCAUGUGGUUUAAUUCGAAGCAACGCGCAGAACCUUACCAACCUUUGACAUGUCCCGUAUGAGCACCAGAGAUGGAGCUCUUCAGUUCGGCUGGCGGGAACACAGGUGCUGCAUGGCUAUCGUCAGCUCGUGUCGUGGGAUGUUGGGUUAAGUCCCGCAACGAGCGCAACCCUCGCCCUUAGUUGCCAUCAUUUAGUUGGGCACUCUAAGGGGACUGCCGGUGAUAAGCCGCGAGGAAGGUGGGGAUGACGUCAAGUCCUCAUGGCCCUUACAGGUUGGGCUACACACGUGCUACGAAUGGCGGUGACAGUGGGAUGCAAUGGGGCGACCCUGCGCAAAUCUCAAAAAGCCGUCUC